RNAcentral lists this ribosomal RNA (429 nucleotides) under Bacteroidota bacterium. RNAcentral describes it as "Bacteroidetes bacterium partial 16S ribosomal RNA". It matches the Rfam family "Bacterial small subunit ribosomal RNA", at positions 355 to 776 of the family's 1533-position model. The record is from RNAcentral. Lineage: Bacteria; Pseudomonadati; Bacteroidota.
UAGGGAAUCUUCGGCAAUGGGGGGAACCCUGACCGAGCAACGCCGCGUGAGUGAAGAAGGUUUUCGGAUCGUAAAGCUCUGUUGUUAAGGAAGAACGAGUGUGAGAAUGGAAAGUUCAUACUGUGACGGUACUUAACCAGAAAGGGACGGCUAACUACGUGCCAGCAGCCGCGGUAAUACGUAGGUCCCGAGCGUUGUCCGGAUUUAUUGGGCGUAAAGCGAGCGCAGGCGGUUAGAUAAGUCUGAAGUUAAAGGCAGUGGCUCAACCAUUGUAGGCUUUGGAAACUGUUUAACUUGAGUGCAGAUGGGGAGAGUGGAAUUCCAUGUGUAGCGGUGAAAUGCGUAGAUAUAUGGAGGAACACCGGUGGCGAAAGCGGCUCUCUGGUCUGUAACUGACGCUGAGGCUCGAAAGCGUGGGGAGCGAACAGG